AUUUUACAGAUGACAAAAAUGGGGCCCAGAAAGAUUGACUGAUUUCUCAACAUCAUGGCAUCUAGCCAGAAGCCAGCUCUCUGCCCCAUCUGUUCCUCUGGCUAUUCCUGCUGCAGACCAUACUUUUCUACAAAUGCUACAUGGAAGGACACCUUUGAUCUUUGAGGAGUCAGGCCUUAGUGCUCAUGCCAGGAGUCUACAAACUACUACAUGACCUUGAGCAAGUCAUAACCUACAAUAAAAGUGCAUACUUUUCUCAUAGGUAUCCCAAAAUCCAAAUCAGUGUGUCUGAGAGGCAGGAAUACUUGCUACCACUGGGGCCAUCCUCCCCUUUUGCCUUUCUCUCUUAGCCUGGCUGGUUGGAUGAUGGGAGAGUCAGCAACUCUGUCACUUCCAGUGAGGUUGAGGACACCAGGCCUUACCAUCCUCCCUACCUCUGUAACCCUUCAGUCUCCCAGCAUUGUCAUCUGACCUAGUACUGUAAUCUAAGGAUCCCUGGGCCAUUUCAUGCACCCCACCACUGCACCCGUAUUACUUUCAGCUCUUUCUAUCUGUCCUGCAAUUGAACUUUCUUUUAUGUGUUGUCUUUCCUUAUUAAAAUGGUAUCAGAAA
This is a non-coding RNA of Phascolarctos cinereus (koala), 612 nucleotides long. The record is from RefSeq and is a predicted model, not a curated record. Lineage: Eukaryota; Metazoa; Chordata; Mammalia; Diprotodontia; Phascolarctidae.